AAAAAAAAAAAACAACCAUCGUACAUGUGCUGACCAGCGAAGAGAUGAGAGACCCAAAUAGCGAAAAGGUUGUGCUGUUCUCAUGGUCAAUGUGAGAGAGGAAACACGCAGACCACAAAAUUGCAGACAAAGGGUCCAAGGAAGGAAAUGAAAACUGGAGGAUUAGAAACUUGAAUAGGAUGAUUGGAAAUGAACAAUGGGAAAG
Long non-coding RNA from Stylophora pistillata, 205 nucleotides. RefSeq lists it as uncharacterized. The record is from RefSeq and is a predicted model, not a curated record. Lineage: Eukaryota; Metazoa; Cnidaria; Anthozoa; Scleractinia; Pocilloporidae.